RNAcentral lists this ribosomal RNA (535 nucleotides) under Mycoplasmoides genitalium. RNAcentral describes it as "bacterial SSU rRNA". It matches the Rfam family "Bacterial small subunit ribosomal RNA", at positions 844 to 1398 of the family's 1533-position model. The record is from RNAcentral. Lineage: Bacteria; Bacillati; Mycoplasmatota; Mycoplasmoidales; Mycoplasmoidaceae.
UAGUGAAGUUAACACAUUAAGUAUCUCGCCUGGGUAGUACAUUCGCAAGAAUGAAACUCAAACGGAAUUGACGGGGACCCGCACAAGUGGUGGAGCAUGUUGCUUAAUUCGACGGUACACGAAAAACCUUACCUAGACUUGACAUCCUUGGCAAAGUUAUGGAAACAUAAUGGAGGUUAACCGAGUGACAGGUGGUGCAUGGUUGUCGUCAGCUCGUGUCGUGAGAUGUUGGGUUAAGUCCCGCAACGAGCGCAACCCUUAUCGUUAGUUACAUUGUUUAACGAGACUGCUAAUGUAAAUUGGAGGAAGGAAGGGAUGACGUCAAAUCAUCAUGCCCCUUAUGUCUAGGGCUGCAAACGUGCUACAAUGGCCAAUACAAACAGUAGCCAACUUGUAAAAGUGAGCAAAUCUGAAAAGUUGGUCUCAGUUCGGAUUGAGGGCUGCAAUUCGUCCUCAUGAAGCUGGAAUCACUAGUAAUCGCGAAUCAGCUAUGUCGCGGUGAAUACGUUCUCGGGUCUUGUACACACCGCCCGUC